Molecule: long non-coding RNA, 1877 nt
Organism: Orcinus orca (killer whale)
Lineage: Eukaryota; Metazoa; Chordata; Mammalia; Artiodactyla; Delphinidae
Exons: 2
Source: RefSeq, a predicted model, not a curated record
CACAAUAAAUGAAAUUAAAAGGACUCUAGAUGGGAUCAAUAGCAGAAUAACUGAGGCAGAAGAACGGAUAAGUGACCUGGAAGAUAAAAUAGUGGAAAUAACUACUGCAGAGCAGAAUAAAGAAAAAAGAAUGAAAAGAACUGAGGACAGUCUCAGAGACCUCUGGGACAACAUUAAACGCACCAACAUUCGAAUUAUAGGGGUUCCAGAAGAAGAAGAGAAAAAGAAAGGGACUGAGAAAAUAUUUGAAGAGAUUAUAGUUGAAAACUUCCCUAAUAUGGGAAAGGAAAUAGUUAAUCAAGUCCAGGAAGCACAGAGAGUCCCAUACAGGAUAAAUCCAAGGAGAAAUACGCCAAGACACAUAUUAAUCAAACUGUCAAAAAUUAAAUACAAAGAAAACAUAUUAAAAGCAGCAAGGGAAAAACAACAAAUAACACACAAGGGAAUCCCCAUAAGGUUAACAGCUGAUCUUUCAGCAGAAACUCUGCAAGCCAGAAGGGAGUGGCAGGACAUAUUGAAAGUGUUGAAGGAGAAAAACCUGCAACCAAGAUUACUCUACCCAGCAAGGAUCUCAUUCAGAUUUGAUGGAGAAAUUAAAACCUUUACAGACAAGCAAAAGCUGAGAGAGUUCAGCACCACCAAACCAGCUCUACAACAACUGCUAAAGGAACUUCUCUAGGCAAGAAACACAAAAGAAGGAAAAGACCUACAAUAACAAACCCAAAACAAUUAAGAAAAUGGGAAUGGGAACACACAUCUCGAUAAUUACCUUAAAUGUAAAUGGACUAAAUGCUCCCACCAAAAGACACAGAUUGGCUGAAUGGAUACAAAAACAAGACCCAUAUAUUUGCUGUCUACAAGAGACCCACUUCAGACCUAGAGACACAUACAGACUGAAAACAAUUUCCAAUUCGUCUCCACAAAGAGACCAGAAUAAGCACCUUCCAAUACAGGAUUUAUUGUGUUGCUUUAAUUUAAAGCAUACAGUGACUUCUACAUUCACUCCACCAAGUUUUGCCAGGAGAGAAAAGGAGACGUUAUAGUUUGUCUUGAAUUAGAUAUGCCACCAUAUUUGACUUAGCUCAUCCUACUGGAAGCACUUUGAGGGCAGAUUCUACAGUCUUGUCUUACAUCCUCUACGGAAUCAAGCCAAGGGAAUCACACACAGUUACAGCUGGAAAAACAUUUGUUCUGGGUUAAUACUUUUAGCCUUUACCACCAAGACUUUAUCACCAAGACCUACCUUUACAGUCUCUAAACAGGAGACCUUCUUGCCUUCCCUUUUCAUAUUGACUAGGAAGGUAAAGGGAAGAACUGAGAAGUACCCAAAGUCAGCUAGCAGCCAGCACAGAUAAAUCAUCUGUGGAGAUAUUGUUUCUUUCAAAAGAUAUAAACAUAAGAGGAAGUCCUAGUGUUUGAAGCAACUGUGCAUAAUAAAAUUCCAUGAAAACCUAGAAAUCCAGAUGCAGAUCAGUAACAUAUUGGUUAAAUAAGCUGUUAUGUUCAUGCAAUGGACAAGUGUACAUACAUUAAGAAGAACGAGAUACUCUUUUCUAUGAGAUUCUCUUUUCACUGAACUCAUCAGUGCUGCAAACACAAUGUUACAUAAUACUUUUUCUUUAACAUUAUAUCAGGCAUCCUCAUCUUGUCCUGCAUUUAUUGCCAGUGUUACUAAAGUCUAUCACUUACCUCUUUCUCUUUUAGACAUAUAAUUUCUUCUUAUUUUGGAAGCAUUCAUCAAUCCCUAUUUUACUCUUUCUUUUAAAUUACAAAUGAAUAUUGAAUUUUAUAAAAUAUCUUUUGGGGGAUAUUUCAAGUGAUUGUAUACUUUUGCUCUCCUUUGACCUUGUUAUAUGGUAAAUUAUAUUUUGUUAUUU